Molecule: microRNA, 20 nt
Filed under: Bos taurus (domestic cattle)
Lineage: Eukaryota; Metazoa; Chordata; Mammalia; Artiodactyla; Bovidae
Description: bta-miR-2285bd
Source: miRBase by way of RNAcentral
AAACCCUGAUGAACUUUUUG